UACAGAGGUCUCAAGCGUUGUUCGGAUUCAUUGGGCGUAAAGGGUGCGUAGGCGGCGUGGUAAGUCGGAUGUGAAAUCUCGGAGCUUAAUUCCGAAACUGCAUUCGAUACUGCCGUGCUUGAGGACUGGAGAGGAGACUGGAAUUUACGGUGUAGCGGUGAAAUGCGUAGAUAUCGUAAGGAAGACCAGUGGCGAAGGCGGGUCUCUGGACAGUUCCUGACGCUGAGGCACGAAGGCCAGGGGAGCAAACGGG
Molecule: ribosomal RNA, 253 nt
Filed under: uncultured bacterium
Lineage: Bacteria
Description: partial 16S ribosomal RNA
Rfam family: Bacterial small subunit ribosomal RNA
Source: RNAcentral